UGGGUUUGAUGGUUUCACAACUUUCUGGCA
This 30-nucleotide non-coding RNA is filed under the name Mus musculus (house mouse). Lineage: Eukaryota; Metazoa; Chordata; Mammalia; Rodentia; Muridae. The record is from RNAcentral.